This 32-nucleotide transfer RNA is filed under the name Scrippsiella hangoei. RNAcentral's name for it is "partial Selenocysteine transfer RNA". Lineage: Eukaryota; Dinophyceae; Peridiniales; Peridiniaceae. The record is from RNAcentral.
CUCGCUGAACUCGAAGGUCGUCUCGCAGAAUG